Molecule: ribosomal RNA, 424 nt
Filed under: uncultured bacterium
Lineage: Bacteria
Description: bacterial SSU rRNA
Rfam family: Bacterial small subunit ribosomal RNA
Source: RNAcentral
UAAGACCUCGCGUUAUUGGAGCGGCCGAUAUCUGAUUAGCUAGUUGGUGGGGUAAAAGCCUACCAAGGCGACGAUCAGUAGCUGGUCUGAGAGGACGACCAGCCACACUGGGACUGAGACACGGCCCAGACUCCUACGGGAGGCAGCAGUGGGGAAUUUUGGGCAAUGGGCGAAAGCCUGAUCCAGCCAUGCCGCGUGAGUGAAGAAGGCCUUCGGGUUGUAAAGCUCUUUCGCAAGGAAAGAAAUCCUAUCCACUAAUACUGGGUGGGGAUGACGGUACCUUGAUAAGAAGCACCGGCUAACUACGUGCCAGCAGCCGCGGUAAUACGUAGGGUGCGAGCGUUAAUCGGAAUUACUGGGCGUAAAGCGAGCGCAGGCGGUUUUGUAAGUCAGAUGUGAAAUCCCCGGGCUCAACCUGGGAACU